UACGUAGGGGGCUAGCGUUGUCCGGAAUCAUUGGGCGUAAAGCGCGUGUAGGCGGUUCGUUAAGUUCGUCGUGAAAGCCCCGGGCUCAACCUGGGAAUGGCGAUGGAAACCAUCUGGCUAGAGUCCGGAAGAGGAGAGUGGAAUUCCUGGUGUAGCGGUGAAAUGCGCAGAUAUCAGGAAGAACACCCGUGGCGAAGGCGGCUCUCUGGGACGGUACUGACGCUGAGACGCGAAAGCGUGGGGAGCGAACAGG
RNAcentral lists this ribosomal RNA (253 nucleotides) under uncultured bacterium. RNAcentral's name for it is "partial 16S ribosomal RNA". It matches the Rfam family "Bacterial small subunit ribosomal RNA", at positions 524 to 776 of the family's 1533-position model. The record is from RNAcentral.